RNAcentral lists this ribosomal RNA (252 nucleotides) under uncultured bacterium. RNAcentral's name for it is "partial 16S ribosomal RNA". It matches the Rfam family "Bacterial small subunit ribosomal RNA", at positions 103 to 353 of the family's 1533-position model. The record is from RNAcentral.
CGGGUGAGUAACGCGUGGGUAACCUGCCUCAUACAGGGGGAUAACAGUUAGAAAUGGCUGCUAAUACCGCAUAAGCGCACAGCUUCGCAUGGAGCAGUGUGAAAAACUCCGGUGGUAUGAGAUGGACCCGCGUCUGAUUAGCUAGUUGGUAAGGUAACGGCUUACCAAGGCGACGAUCAGUAGCCGACCUGAGAGGGUGACCGGCCACAUUGGGACUGAGACACGGCCCAAACUCCUACGGGAGGCAGCAUG